This 660-nucleotide long non-coding RNA is filed under the name Lactuca sativa (garden lettuce). RNAcentral describes it as "long non-coding RNA (LSAT_LNC009284)". Lineage: Eukaryota; Viridiplantae; Streptophyta; Magnoliopsida; Asterales; Asteraceae. The record is from RNAcentral.
ACCUGUUGUGCACGGUUGUAUCAGCCUGUUACAAAGUCAUAUACCCAUCUAUUGUAUAUAACCUAAGAAAAAUAACAAAUCAAAGGCUUUUAAUCCCAUAAAAUAAUUAAAAAGAAACAAAGGUUUUCUAUAAAGUUUAGAAAAUACAACACUCAGAUUUUUUUUUUGCCUUACAUCAGUAAGGCAAACCAUUCAUAUCCAUUUUGGCUUGCUGAGGUUUACCUUUUCAUCACCUGUUUUUCCCAUUGGUCACAUGGCGGUCAUCGCAUCAAUGGAGAAGGCGAAAGGAGGACGUCGUUUGCAUCGAUGAAGAAGACGCAAAUAGGAUGUCGGAGGCCAUUACUUUCAGAUAAGAAAAUCGUGAACGACAACCCUUAGGAACUUAAGCCCCCGCUCUAUCCGUAAAUGGGGGUGUGAGUGGCAAAUGGGUUUUUGGUUGGGGCUUCUACUCUUUAGGGAGAGAAAGAGGAUGGUGGAGAAUGAAUGAUCCAGUGGUUAUUGGUUUCUGGUGUGUGCUUGUGAGUUGUGACCUAACAGUAAUGGAGAAAGCGAAAAAGGAGAUGUACGUUAUAUAAAGGUUAGUUGGUGUUGACCGAUUCAUUAUGCUGAAAGUGUGGAACACCGAUUCAAAGGCCCGUCUGACUUUUUCUUUUAUUGGCC